GUCCCAAUGGUCUAGUGGUAGGAUUCGCCCUUCGGGUUAUACCCUCAUGUUCAGCGUGAAUGGGCGAGGUCCCCGGUUCGAACCCGGGUUGGGCCC
Molecule: transfer RNA, 96 nt
Filed under: Colletotrichum orbiculare MAFF 240422
Lineage: Eukaryota; Fungi; Ascomycota; Sordariomycetes; Glomerellales; Glomerellaceae
Description: tRNA-Pro for anticodon CGG
Source: RNAcentral